AAAGGAUUAGUUAAUUUAUAACAUCAGAAUGUCAAACUGAAAUAAUCACAAAGAUAUCCUUUU
This 63-nucleotide transfer RNA is filed under the name Nasutitermes bikpelanus. RNAcentral's name for it is "tRNA-Asp". The record is from RNAcentral. RNAcentral also lists the same sequence under 1 other name. Lineage: Eukaryota; Metazoa; Arthropoda; Insecta; Blattodea; Termitidae.